This 253-nucleotide ribosomal RNA is filed under the name uncultured bacterium. Its description in RNAcentral is "partial 16S ribosomal RNA". It matches the Rfam family "Bacterial small subunit ribosomal RNA", at positions 524 to 776 of the family's 1533-position model. The record is from RNAcentral.
UACGGAGGGUGCGAGCGUUGUCCGGAAUCACUGGGCGUAAAGGGCGCGUAGGCGGCUCGUGAAGUCAGUGGUGAAAGCCCAGGGCUCAACUCUGGGUCGGCCACUGAUACUCGCGAGCUCGAGUUUGGUAGAGGCAGAUGGAAUUCCUGGUGUAGCGGUGAAAUGCGCAGAUAUCAAGAGGAACACCAGUGGCGAAGGCGAGUCCCUGGACAACUUCUGACGCUGAGGCACGAAAGCUAGGGGAGCAAACAGG